UGGUCUGUGUGCUUAGAAAGACUCUA
This 26-nucleotide non-coding RNA is filed under the name Mus musculus (house mouse). Lineage: Eukaryota; Metazoa; Chordata; Mammalia; Rodentia; Muridae. The record is from RNAcentral.